Non-coding RNA from Burkholderia sp., 147 nucleotides. The record is from Rfam. NCBI's taxonomy places the organism in Bacteria, Pseudomonadati, Pseudomonadota, Betaproteobacteria, Burkholderiales, Burkholderiaceae.
CCAGGCGUUCCGUCGCCUGUAGCCUACCGGAGCAUGCGGGACUGGCAACGGUCCCGUGUGAAGCCUUCGGGACAAUGUAGCCCGGAGUAAUCCGUGCGGAAUCCGCGAGGAGGAAGCACGUCUGCGAGUGUCACCGCGGACAGGGCG